AGAUCGUUUACCGUGAAAAAAUUAGAGUGUUCAAAGCAGGCAGAUCCAAUUUUCUGCCACCGAAUACAUUAGCAUGGGAUAAUGGAAUAGGACCCUGUCCUCCUAUUUUCAGUUGGUUUUGGCAGCGCGAGGACUAGGGUAAUGAUUAAUAGGGAUAGUUGGGGGCAUUAAUAUUUAAUUGUCAGAGGUGAAAUUCUUGGAUUUAUGAAAGAUUAACUUCUGCGAAAGCAUCUGCCAAGGAUGUUUUCAUUAAUCAAGAACGAAAGUUAGGGGAUCGAAGACGAUCAGAUACCGUCGUAGUCUUAACCAUAAACGAUGCCGACCAGCGAUUAGGAGACGUUGAAUACAAAACACCGCCAUCGGUUGCGGUCGUCCUUGGCGUCUCGGUUUCGGCCGGGGCGCGGGACGUUAGCCCGGCCCGA
This 422-nucleotide ribosomal RNA is filed under the name Acanthamoeba sp. MA47. RNAcentral's name for it is "SSU rRNA". It matches the Rfam family "Eukaryotic small subunit ribosomal RNA", at positions 745 to 1116 of the family's 1831-position model. Lineage: Eukaryota; Discosea; Longamoebia; Acanthamoebidae. The record is from RNAcentral.